GAUGAACGCUGGCGGCGUGCCUAAUACAUGCAAGUCGAGCGAACAGACGAGGAGCUUGCUCCUCUGACGUUAGCGGCGGACGGGUGAUUAACACGUGGAUAACCUACCUAUAAGACUGGGAUAACUUCGGGAAACCGGAGCUAAUACCGGAUAAUAUAUUGAACCGCAUGGUUCACUAGUGAAAGACGGUUUUGCUGUCACUUAUAGAUGGAUCCGCGCCGCAUUAGCUAGUUGGUAAGGUAACGGCUUACCAAGGCGACGAUGCGUAGCCGACCUGAGAGGGUGAUCGGCCACACUGGAACUGAGACGCGGUCCAGACUCCUACGGGAGGCAGCAGUAGGGAAUCUUCCGCAAUGGGCGAAAGCCUGACGGAGCAACGCCGCGUGAGUGAUGAAGGUCUUCGGAUCGUAAAACUCUGUUAUUAGGGAAGAACAAAUGUGUAAGUAACUAUGCACGUCUUGACGGUACCUAAUCAGAAAGCCACGGCUAACUACGUG
Molecule: ribosomal RNA, 497 nt
Filed under: uncultured bacterium
Lineage: Bacteria
Description: partial 16S ribosomal RNA
Rfam family: Bacterial small subunit ribosomal RNA
Source: RNAcentral